RNAcentral lists this long non-coding RNA (348 nucleotides) under Felis catus (domestic cat). RNAcentral's name for it is "lncRNA (ENSFCAG00000047824.1)". Lineage: Eukaryota; Metazoa; Chordata; Mammalia; Carnivora; Felidae. The record is from RNAcentral.
AUGGAUAAUUUUCACACUGACUUGCCAAUCUGCAAAACUACCAAAGAGGAAAUAUGUGGUUUACUCUUAGAAGCCAACGCAGUUCCCCUUGGUGGGUUUCCCUCUCAAUUCCCCUCAACUGGGUUUACCUCAAUUUCUGUGAUCCCGCCUUACCGAGGGACCCAAUCUGGGAGGCAAAGAACAGACAGAUACAUGGACCUGUGGUUCUCCCAUUAUCUGAAUCCUGUUCCUGAUGACACAGGUUGGAGCAAAGCCUGCAGUGAGACGAGCCAAAGGCACCAAGCUGGAUGUCCUAGCUGCUGCCUCUCCCUUUACACCACGGUGAAAGCUCUGCCUAUAUGUUUUUAG